UAAGCUUCGCGCGUGCGCAAUUGCGCACUGCUGACACGGUCUCCGCGCACAGAUCUGCGCUGCGCACACACACAAAAAAAAAAUCCAACCUAAAUUGUAAAUAAAAUAAACACGUAACAAUUCAUUCUGUGCUAUUUUUCAAUGUGAGUCAGUGAGUGACCGGUGACUGGCUGCUGCAGCCAAUGAUGCGAUUCACAUACGUAUUUACCAUAGACUGUAUAUAAUGGUAUUUACGCAGCUAAUCAAAGUCAGGCUUCCUUAUGUGCAGCUACCGUUGUUCUCAUAGAUAUGAAUGAGUAGAUAGGACACGCCCCUUUGAGCUACGUGCUAUAGCGAGGCUAAGCUAGUGGGGGCAAAGUUUCAGUGCAUUCCGUUGAUGUAGACGGCGUGAAAACGGAAACAAGUAUGCCGGCUCACUGUGCUGCAUACAAUUACACACUACCUCGUAUGAUUGAGACAAGGAAACUUGGAAUGACUUUUCAUAGGUUUCCCAGAGACUAUGGGUUGAGGAGGAAUUGGAAGUUUGUCGGCUUAGACCUGGUGUCAUUCCAUCAGUGUUAAACUUCCCGGCUCAUCUUGGAAGAGUACGUGCCAGAAAGACCACGACCAAGCAGCCUUGAGAUCUUAGGCAGCGUCUCCCUGAGGUCCCUCUCUAUCUCCCCACACAUCCACCAACCACUGGAGCACAUCUCCAAAGUUCUGCCGGGCCAGCUCAGCUUCCCCUCAGAAGAAGUUCCACCACCUGCCAGAUGAAGGAGCCUUUUGAGAGGCAGCUGGCAUCGUGAUUGGACUGUACUUUGGUCUGUUCCGGUCCAGCAUCAGCUCCAGAGACGGCAGGUGGGACGAGUCAACGGAGGCCGGGUGGACGAAGGCAUGCAGCUGAGUACAAUCCAGAAAACAACAGAGGAGGAGUGCAGCAGCC
Long non-coding RNA from Amphiprion ocellaris (clown anemonefish), 922 nucleotides. Lineage: Eukaryota; Metazoa; Chordata; Actinopteri; Pomacentridae. The record is from Ensembl.